This 253-nucleotide ribosomal RNA is filed under the name uncultured bacterium. RNAcentral describes it as "partial 16S ribosomal RNA". It matches the Rfam family "Bacterial small subunit ribosomal RNA", at positions 524 to 776 of the family's 1533-position model. The record is from RNAcentral.
UACGUAGGGGGCAAGCGUUGUCCGGAUUUAUUGGGCGUAAAGAGCGUGUAGGCGGCCAUACAGGUCCGUUGUGAAAACUCGAGGCUCAACCUCGAGACGUCGAUGGAAACCGUAUGGCUAGAGUCCGGAAGAGGAGAGUGGAAUUCCUGGUGUAGCGGUGAAAUGCGCAGAUAUCAGGAAGAACACCUAUGGCGAAGGCAGCUCGCUGGGACGGUACUGACGCUGAGACGCGAAAGCGUGGGGAGCGAACAGG